Molecule: non-coding RNA, 197 nt
Filed under: Alistipes sp. CAG:268
Lineage: Bacteria; Pseudomonadati; Bacteroidota; Bacteroidia; Bacteroidales; Rikenellaceae
Also listed under: 1 other name
Source: RNAcentral
UAUAUUUGCAUCGAGCAAGGUUCCCCGCCGGCGGCUGCCGGCCCGGGAUCAAAAGGGAACACCUGUGCGAAUCAGGGGCUAUUCCCGUAGCUGUAAGCUCCGUAAACGACCGCAUACUCUUGAGCCACUGUCCCGCCGGGACGGGAAGGCAUGCGGAGGGGGCGAGCCAGAAGACCUGCCUUGCCGGAUGAGGCUCC